CAAAGCUUGAGGAUACCUGUUGCUCUUGAGACACUUUUCAGAAGCACAAGGAUUACCCCCAGAGAAGAAAGGGAUACCCUGCUGUGUCUGGUAAUCUGCAAUUAGAAAAUGAUCCCAAGGGGGACUAUUAGCAGCUGGUAUGGUUUAGAGCUGUCCAGACAAGCACUGAAUUAGCUGGAGAAUCUGGAACCACAACUAGCUGCUUGACAAGCCUCUCACUCAUCCUAUCUUGCAAACAGCAAAAUCUGCAUACAGCAAAGAUUUUGAGCUGCUGUCUGACAAUACAUCAGCAUGUGCUAUGGUGGAACAGAUAAGGCACUGGAGCACAGAAAAAAAUAGGACCAAAAAUUUUCAUCUCUCUUAGGAGCCAAUUUGAAACACCAGCAAAAUGAUUUUUGAGGGUUGUUAGCUUUAUAUUGCUUUCUUUAUGCUCAAAAGUCAACUAUCAGUGACUUCAGCUGUGGCUUCAAAUACCAGACACUUCCACCUAUUUGACCACCCCAUAGCUGUCUAUGUGCCUUAAACAUAAGGGACACGCCAUGUCUGGUAAGUCUAGUUUUACAAAGUUGCAUGACAUAGUGGAGGCAGAGACCUAAUCCUGUUCAACUGGCUGGUAUUGGCAACCUUAAACUCAUAACUCCAUGUUUCCUGCCUGCAGUCUGUGAUCUCAUGUAAUCCCUUCCAGUUUCAGCAGCAAAUGAGGUUAGGGUACUAGGCUCAGCUAUGGCCCUUAUUUACAGACUAAAUUCAAGUGUCAUUUAACAAAGUCUGUUACUACACAUGAAGGGGUCAGGAAAAUGAUGCAGGGACUUUCUAUUUUGCAAUGAUACUCUUAGCAAAGAGAUCUUCUUUAUGUAGUC
Oxyura jamaicensis (ruddy duck) is the source of this 860-nucleotide long non-coding RNA. RefSeq lists it as uncharacterized. Lineage: Eukaryota; Metazoa; Chordata; Aves; Anseriformes; Anatidae. The record is from RefSeq and is a predicted model, not a curated record. The transcript is spliced from 3 exons.